RNAcentral lists this unclassified non-coding RNA (237 nucleotides) under Hevea brasiliensis (rubber tree). Lineage: Eukaryota; Viridiplantae; Streptophyta; Magnoliopsida; Malpighiales; Euphorbiaceae. The record is from RNAcentral.
GUUUGUGAAUUUGCUUGACUUUAUCAUAAAUGUUAAUCAUUCAUUAAGCAAAUCAUCAAUUUAAAUGUUCAUUGUGCAUUUUCUGGACUUUCAAUAGCUUGUGAAAUCUAGUUCUGGGACUAGAUAGAUUAUACAUUCAACUUAUUCAACAUCCAUGUCGUAAAUUUGGACAAAUUGAAUUCUAAUAGAAUGAUUGGCUGGGAGCUUGGUAUUCGGCUUAAAAAUAAUUGGGCAGCG